GAGUGAAAUAGAACCUGAAACCGUGUGCUUACAAGUAGUCAGAGCCCGUUAAUGGGUGAUGGCGUGCCUUUUGUAGAAUGAACCGGCGAGUUACGAUUUGAUGCAAGGUUAAGCAGUAAAUGUGGAGCCGUAGCGAAAGCGAGUCUGAAUAGGGCGUUUAGUAUUUGGUCGUAGACCCGAAACCAGGUGAUCUACCCUUGGUCAGGUUGAAGUUCAGGUAACACUGAAUGGAGGACCGAACCGACUUACGUUGAAAAGUGAGCGGAUGAACUGAGGGUAGCGGAGAAAUUCCAAUCGAACCUGGAGAUAGCUGGUUCUCUCCGAAAUAGCUUUAGGGCUAGCCUCAAGUGAUGAUUAUUGGAGGUAGAGCACUGUUUGGACGAGGGGCCCCUCUCGGGUUACCGAAUUCAGACAAACUCCGAAUGCCAAUUAAUUUAACUUGGGAGUCAGAACAUGGGUGAUAAGGUCCGUGUUCGAAAGGGAAACAGCCCAGACCACCAGCUAAGGUCCCAAAAUAUAUGUUAAGUGGAAAAGGAUGUGGCGUUGCCCAGACAACUAGGAUGUUGGCUUAGAAGCAGCCAUCAUUUAAAGAGUGCGUAAUAGCUCACUAGUCGAGUGACACUGCGCCGAAAAUGUACCGGGGCUAAACAUAUUACCGAAGCUGUGGAUUGUCCUUUGGACAAUGGUAGGAGAGCGUUCUAAGGGCGUUGAAGCAUGAUCGUAAGGACAUGUGGAGCGCUUAGAAGUGAGAAUGCCGGUGUGAGUAGCGAAAGACGGGUGAGAAUCCCGUCCACCGAUUGACUAAGGUUUCCAGAGGAAGGCUCGUCCGCUCUGGGUUAGUCGGGUCCUAAGCUGAGGCCGACAGGCGUAGGCGAUGGAUAACAGGUUGAUAUUCCUGUACCACCUAUAAUCGUUUUAAUCGAUGGGGGGACGCAGUAGGAUAGGCGAAGCGUGCGAUUGGAUUGCACGUCUAAGCAGUAAGGCUGAGUAUUAGGCAAAUCCGGUACUCGUUAAGGCUGAGCUGUGAUGGGGAGAAGACAUUGAGUCUUCGAGUCGUUGAUUUCACACUGCCGAGAAAAGCCUCUAGAUAGAAAAUAGGUGCCCGUACCGCAAACCGACACAGGUAGUCAAGAUGAGAAUUCUAAGGUGAGCGAGCGAACUCUCGUUAAGGAACUCGGCAAAAUGACCCCGUAACUUCGGGAGAAGGGGUGCUCUUUAGGGUUAACGCCCAGAAGAGCCGCAGUGAAUAGGCCCAAGCGACUGUUUAUCAAAAACACAGGUCUCUGCUAAACCGUAAGGUGAUGUAUAGGGGCUGACGCCUGCCCGGUGCUGGAAGGUUAAGAGGAGUGGUUAGCUUCUGCGAAGCUACGAAUCGAAGCCCCAGUAAACGGCGGCCGUAACUAUAACGGUCCUAAGGUAGCGAAAUUCCUUGUCGGGUAAGUUCCGACCCGCACGAAAGGCGUAACGAUUUGGGCACUGUCUCAACGAGAGACUCGGUGAAAUCAUAGUACCUGUGAAGAUGCAGGUUACCCGCGACAGGACGGAAAGACCCCGUGGAGCUUUACUGUAGCCUGAUAUUGAAAUUCGGCACAGCUUGUACAGGAUAGGUAGGAGCCUUUGAAACGUGAGCGCUAGCUUACGUGGAGGCGCUGGUGGGAUACUACCCUAGCUGUGUUGGCUUUCUAACCCGCACCACUUAUCGUGGUGGGAGACAGUGUCAGGCGGGCAGUUUGACUGGGGCGGUCGCCUCCUAAAAGGUAACGGAGGCGCUCAAAGGUUCCCUCAGAAUGGUUGGAAAUCAUUCAUAGAGUGUAAAGGCAUAAGGGAGCUUGACUGCGAGACCUACAAGUCGAGCAGGGUCGAAAGACGGACUUAGUGAUCCGGUGGUUCCGCAUGGAAGGGCCAUCGCUCAACGGAUAAAAGCUACCCCGGGGAUAACAGGCUUAUCUCCCCCAAGAGUUCACAUCGACGGGGAGGUUUGGCACCUCGAUGUCGGCUCAUCGCAUCCUGGGGCUGUAGUCGGUCCCAAGGGUUGGGCUGUUCGCCCAUUAAAGCGGUACGCGAGCUGGGUUCAGAACGUCGUGAGACAGUUCGGUCCCUAUCCGUCGUGGGCGUAGGAAAUUUGAGAGGAGCUGUCCUUAGUACGAGAGGACCGGGAUGGACAUACCUCUGGUGUACCAGUUGUCGUGCCAACGGCAUAGCUGGGUAGCUAUGUGUGGACGGGAUAAGUGCUGAAAGCAUCUAAGCAUGAAGCCCCCCUCAAGAUGAGAUUUCCCAACUUCGGUUAUAAGAUCCCUCAAAGAUGAUGAGGUUAAUAGGUUCGAGGUGGAAGCAUGGUGACAUGUGGAGCUGACGAAUACUAAUCGAUCGAAGACUUAAUCAA
RNAcentral lists this ribosomal RNA (2383 nucleotides) under Staphylococcus aureus. RNAcentral describes it as "partial 23S ribosomal RNA". It matches the Rfam family "Bacterial large subunit ribosomal RNA", at positions 536 to 2925 of the family's 2925-position model. RNAcentral also lists the same sequence under 1 other name. Lineage: Bacteria; Bacillati; Bacillota; Bacilli; Caryophanales; Staphylococcaceae. The record is from RNAcentral.